GAAAUAUAUUGAUAAUAUAGAAGCUGCUAACUUCUUUUAAUAGCGGUUUAAAUCCGUUAAUAUUUCU
Molecule: transfer RNA, 67 nt
Filed under: Physemacris variolosa
Lineage: Eukaryota; Metazoa; Arthropoda; Insecta; Orthoptera; Pneumoridae
Description: tRNA-Ser
Source: RNAcentral